UACGUAGGUGACAAGCGUUGUCCGGAUUUACUGGGCGUAAAGAGCGCGCAGGCGGUCGAUCAAGUCGAGUGUGAAAGCCCCCGGCUCAACUGGGGAGGGUCAUUCGAUACUGAUCGACUCGAAGGCAGGAGAGGGUAGUGGAAUUCCCGGUGUAGUGGUGAAAUGCGUAGAGAUCGGGAGGAACAUCAGUGGCGAAGGCGGCCAUCUGGGACAACACUGACGCUGAAGCACGAAAGCGUGGGGAGCAAACAGG
RNAcentral lists this ribosomal RNA (253 nucleotides) under uncultured bacterium. Its description in RNAcentral is "partial 16S ribosomal RNA". It matches the Rfam family "Bacterial small subunit ribosomal RNA", at positions 524 to 776 of the family's 1533-position model. The record is from RNAcentral.